This 849-nucleotide ribosomal RNA is filed under the name uncultured Actinomycetes bacterium. RNAcentral's name for it is "bacterial SSU rRNA". It matches the Rfam family "Bacterial small subunit ribosomal RNA", at positions 70 to 896 of the family's 1533-position model. The record is from RNAcentral. Lineage: Bacteria; Bacillati; Actinomycetota; Actinomycetes.
AAAGUCCCCUUCGGGGGAUAAGUAGAGUGGCGCACGGGUGAGUAACACGUAGGUAAUCUACCUUCGGGUGGGGAAUAACCCAGGGAAACUUGGGCUAACACCGCAUAAUGCAGCGGCACCACAUGGUGACAGUUGUUAAAGCGGGGGAUUUUCGGACCUCGCGCCUGAAGAGGAGCCUGCGGCAGAUUAGCUAGUUGGUAGGGUAACGGCUUACCAAGGCGACGAUCUGUAGCCGGCCUGAGAGGGCGGUCGGCCACACUGACACUGACAUACGGGUCAGACUCCUACGGGAGGCAGCAGUCGGGAAUUUUGGGCAAUGGGCGAAAGCCUGACCCAGCAACGCCGCGUGAAGGAUGAAAUCCCUCGGGAUGUAAACUUCGCAAGAAUGGGAAGAAUUAGUAGGGGUUAAUACCCCCUAUGAUGACGGUACCAUUUGUAAGCUCCGGCUAACUCCGUGCCAGCAGCCGCGGUAAUACGGGGGGAGCAAGCGUUGUUCGGAUUUACUGGGCGUAAAGGGCGCGUAGGCGGUCAGCACAAGUCAGUUGUGAAAUCUCCGGGCUUAACUCGGAAAGGUCAACUGAUACUGUGCGACUAGAGUGCGGAAGGGGCAACUGGAAUUCUCGGUGUAGCGGUGAAAUGCGUAGAUAUCGAGAGGAACACCUGCGGCGAAGGCGGGUUGCUGGGCCGACACUGACGCUGAUGCGCGAAAGCCAGGGGAGCGAACGGGAUUAGAUACCCCGGUAGUCCUGGCCUUAAACGAUGGAUGCUUGGUGUCUGGAGUUUUAUAGUCUCCGGGUGCCGUAGCUAACGCGUUAAGCAUCCCGCCUGGGGAGUACGGUCGCAAGACUG